RNAcentral lists this unclassified non-coding RNA (240 nucleotides) under soil metagenome. RNAcentral's name for it is "partial contains 5.8S ribosomal RNA, internal transcribed spacer 2, and large subunit ribosomal RNA". The record is from RNAcentral.
AACGCACGAGACCUGCGGACCUGCGGAGGGAUCAUUACUGAGUGUUGAUUUGUUUUUUAACGGAUCGCCUCCCACCCUUUGUUUAUCAAAACCUGUUGCUUCGGCGUUUCGAUUCCAAUCUUUUUGUCAAAAAGAAAGAUUUGAACCGUUGGCUUCUUUUAAGCGAAUGUGUUAUUCGCCGAAGGACAUUUUUAUACUCUUGUUUUUGAAGUUGUCUGAGUUUGAAAUAUCAAAAAAAAA